This 1372-nucleotide ribosomal RNA is filed under the name uncultured bacterium. RNAcentral's name for it is "bacterial SSU rRNA". It matches the Rfam family "Bacterial small subunit ribosomal RNA", at positions 28 to 1381 of the family's 1533-position model. The record is from RNAcentral.
GAUGAACGCUGGCGGCGUGCCUAAUACAUGCAAGUCGAGCGAACGGACGAGAAGCUUGCUUCUCUGAUGUUAGCGGCGGACGGGUGAGUAACACGUGGAUAACCUACCUAUAAGACUGGGAUAACUUCGGGAAACCGGAGCUAAUACCGGAUAAUAUUUUGAACCGCAUGGUUCAAAAGUGAAAGACGGUCUUGCUGUCACUUAUAGAUGGAUCCGCGCUGCAUUAGCUAGUUGGUAAGGUAACGGCUUACCAAGGCAACGAUGCAUAGCCGACCUGAGAGGGUGAUCGGCCACACUGGAACUGAGACACGGUCCAGACUCCUACGGGAGGCAGCAGUAGGGAAUCUUCCGCAAUGGGCGAAAGCCUGACGGAGCAACGCCGCGUGAGUGAUGAAGGUCUUCGGAUCGUAAAACUCUGUUAUUAGGGAAGAACAUAUGUGUAAGUAACUGUGCACAUCUUGACGGUACCUAAUCAGAAAGCCACGGCUAACUACGUGCCAGCAGCCGCGGGUAUACGUAGGUGGGCAGCGUUAUCCCGGAUAUUAUGGGCGUAAGCGCGCGUAGGCGGUUUUUUAAGUCUGAUGUGAAAGCCCACGGCUCAAUCGUGGAGGGUCAUUGGAAACUGGAAAACUUGAGUGCAGAAGAGGAAAGUGGAAUUCCAUGUGUAGCGGUGAAAUGCGCAGAGAUAUGGAGGAACACCAGUGGCGAAGGCGACUUUCUGGUCUGCAACUGACGCUGAUGUGCGAAAGCGUGGGGAUCAAACAGGAUUAGAUACCCUGGUAGUCCACGCCGUAAACGAUGAGUGCUAAGUGUUAGGGGGUUUCCGCCCCUUAGUGCUGCAGCUAACGCAUUAAGCACUCCGCCUGGGGAGUACGACCGCAAGGUUGAAACUCAAAGGAAUUGACGGGGACCCGCACAAGCGGUGGAGCAUGUGGUUUAAUUCGAAGCAACGCGAAGAACCUUACCAAAUCUUGACAUCCUUUGACAACUCUAGAGAUAGAGCCUUCCCCUUCGGGGGACAAAGUGACAGGUGGUGCAUGGUUGUCGUCAGCUCGUGUCGUGAGAUGUUGGGUUAAGUCCCGCAACGAGCGCAACCCUUAAGCUUAGUUGCCAUCAUUAAGUUGGGCACUCUAAGUUGACUGCCGGUGACAAACCGGAGGAAGGUGGGGAUGACGUCAAAUCAUCAUGCCCCUUAUGAUUUGGGCUACACACGUGCUACAAUGGACAAUACAAAGGGCAGCGAAACCGCGAGGUCAAGCAAAUCCCAUAAAGUUGUUCUCAGUUCGGAUUGUAGUCUGCAACUCGACUACAUGAAGCUGGAAUCGCUAGUAAUCGUAGAUCAGCAUGCUACGGUGAAUACGUUCCCGGGUCU